Long non-coding RNA from Hemicordylus capensis (graceful crag lizard), 1174 nucleotides. RefSeq lists it as uncharacterized. The transcript has 2 exons. Lineage: Eukaryota; Metazoa; Chordata; Lepidosauria; Squamata; Cordylidae. The record is from RefSeq and is a predicted model, not a curated record.
GGGGGGAGAAAUCAGACUUCUAUUUUCAGCUUUGGUUGAAGGGAGAGGAAGCCAGAAAAGGGACUCCUGGUCUAAAAAGCUUUGAUUUCUUCUUAAUUGCCCUGGUCUGGAGAAGAAAACGAGCUGGGCCUGGGAGGAAGAUCACGUGGCUGCCUCAGAGGGAGAGGACUUGCUGGCGACCCCCACAGCCCAGUCUCCCUCACCUCCCACAGCCACUUCCCAGGAAUGUCUGCCUGCUGAGUAUCCCUCACAUCCCAGCACGCAAGGCCAGCAGUCGAAUCUCUCAGGAUUCUGGGGCAGAUCUUGAUAUUUUUCUCCACAUGUCAGGCUUUUAGGAUCCUCGGACAUGAUGAGCCUGGGAUUUGCUGUGUCUGGAUCCAAAAUGACGUUUGCUGUUGAGGGGGAGAAGAAAAGGAAGGGAACAGAAGCAGAGUCAGCUGAGAGAUGGAGGGAAGUCAGGGGCCUUACGAGGUUCUUCAAUGAUUCGGGACCAAGGUCCACAGGCCCUUUCUUAGUCCAACUCAAUCACGCCCACCCUCCAAGAAUAAUGGCUUCUUCUUUCUUGGGAAGGGAGAAUAGGAUUACAUCCCCUGAGCCAAUGUGGUGCAGUGGAUAGAGAGCUGGAGGAGGACUGGGGAGAUCUGGAUUCAAACCCUCCCCUGGUCAGCCAUGAAGCUGACUGAAUGACUCUUAGCUAGACAUUCUCCACCCCCCUCAUCUGCCUCCCAGGAUUGUUGUGGAAAUAAAAUGGAGAAGGAAAAACAAUUUAGACUAGCCUGUGCUUCUUGGAGGAAGGGCAGCUCCAAAGCUUGCAAAUGAUAAGAUACCCUUACGUGUGUCUGUCUAUUCAGGACUUGGAGGGCCCAGGGCAAGAAUUUGUCCCCCCCACACUUCGGACCAGGCCGAGGAACUCACUAGCAGUGAUCCCUGCUAAAGGAGCCAAGAGGCACCAUUGAAAGGGAUGGUUCUCUUGUACUGAAUGGGGGGUGGGGGGGAGCCACUGUCCCUCUCCAACCCCAGCACAGACAGCAUCAGUGGUGGCUGCUGGUGUCUACUUGGUGUUUCUUUUUAGCCUGUGAGUCCUUUGGGGACAGGGAAGCAACUUUUGUUCCUUUUUCUAUGUAAACUGCUUUGACUUUUGUUGAAAAGCUGUAUAUAAAUCUUUGUAGUUGUA